Molecule: long non-coding RNA, 1136 nt
Organism: Oncorhynchus kisutch (coho salmon)
Lineage: Eukaryota; Metazoa; Chordata; Actinopteri; Salmoniformes; Salmonidae
Source: Ensembl
UAAUCGGCAUAGGCAUUGAAAAAUCAUAAAUCGGUCGACCUCUACCGACAACCGCCGAAACAUCUAUCCUAUGAGAACAUUUCGGAAUGGUACUCUGAAGUAUCCAUUUUAACCACGUAAGACUUGAUCUUCAGGGAGGCAGAGACCGACUCGUAUGAACUCUGACAGACGGACGAUUCCACAACGACACACUGAGCGUAAAUAUAUAUUGAUUGCAGUUAUUCCCGAAUGAGUGAGCAGUCAUGUGCAAAGGAAUAGCAUUUCAAUUAAUAUAAUUAUCAACUGUAGUGAUUCCUUUUGUUGGUCUUUCCCGCUGUUCAGUCCACACCCACUUCCCUUUGUCCACCAAGCAGUCAUAUUGGCUUAGCCCACUAAGGAACCUCCCUAAUCAUUUCCUUGUAACCAUAUCUGUUUGUUUAUGCAUUUCUGUGAUUAUUUAGUUAGUAAAUAAACGAUUAAGAUAAUUGGUGUAUGGAUGAUUCAUAGUAAAGGCUGGGUUCGUGCAUAUAACCAACAAUUUCCGACACUUGGAAUGAGACUAACAUGAGGUAAAGAAUAAUUCAUUAAUUAGACUAAUUGAUCAGAUAUUAAGUUAUCUGAAUCUUAAUCUUAAGAUUUCCUUGGUGCCCCGACUUCCUAGUUAAUUACAUUUACAUGAUUAGUUUAAUCGCAUAAUAAUAAUUACAGAGAAGUGAUUUGAUAAACAUGUCUUCACUUUUAAUGAUGCCAAAGACACUUGCUAGACCUGUCAAAAGUUCUCUCAAAGUGCAGAAUGGUGUCCACAACCAGCUUGAUUCGCAAGUAAAAAAGUUCAGUAAACGCAGUCGUCAGAUCCUGGACAGUGAUGAGGCUCCAGUCGGGAAAGAACAGGCAGUCAAACGGGAACAAGAGGACAGGGCUGUCCUACCCAGGAAGGAAAAGCAAGGAAGCCGGUCCCAGAGAGGGAGCUGGACAGCAGGAGUGGCAGUGAGGAGGUGGUGAAGGAAGAACAAGGACCUCAGAAAAAAAGAGCACGGGUUGACAAAACACAGGACAGCACAGGUAAGGUUCAUUUUCCUCCAUUACAAGUGUGUUGCUUCCUACUCCUUGUAUUCUCUGUCGAGAAUGAAGAGGAAGCGAUGGAGGUGGGAGGAGAG